RNAcentral lists this ribosomal RNA (510 nucleotides) under uncultured bacterium. RNAcentral's name for it is "partial 16S ribosomal RNA". It matches the Rfam family "Bacterial small subunit ribosomal RNA", at positions 355 to 858 of the family's 1533-position model. The record is from RNAcentral.
UGGGGAAUUUUGGACAAUGGGCGAAAGCCUGAUCCAGCAAUGCCGCGUGUGUGAAGAAGGCCUUCGGGUUGUAAAGCACUUUUGUCCGGAAAGAAAUGGCUCUGGUUAAUACCUGGGGUCGAUGACGGUACCGGAAGAAUAAGGACCGGCUAACUACGUGCCAGCAGCCGCGGUAAUACGUAGGGUCCAAGCGUUAAUCGGAAUUACUGGGCGUAAAGCGUGCGCAGGCGGUUGUGCAAGACCGAUGUGAAAUCCCCGAGCUUAACUUGGGAAUUGCAUUGGUGACUGCACGGCUAGAGUGUGUCAGAGGGGGGUAGAAUUCCACGUGUAGCAGUGAAAUGCGUAGAGAUGUGGAGGAAUACCGAUGGCGAAGGCAGCCCCCUGGGAUAACACUGACGCUCAUGCACGAAAGCGUGGGGAGCAAACAGGAUUAGAUACCCUGGUAGUCCACGCCCUAAACGAUGUCAACUAGUUGUUGGGGAUUCAUUUCCUUAGUAACGUAGCUAACGC